Molecule: long non-coding RNA, 579 nt
Organism: Phascolarctos cinereus (koala)
Lineage: Eukaryota; Metazoa; Chordata; Mammalia; Diprotodontia; Phascolarctidae
Source: RefSeq, a predicted model, not a curated record
GAGGGACCAUGAGUGUGGAAGGCUGCGUAUAUCAGACUUCUUUGGAUACAUUGGAGAAUGAUCUUUGGAUUGGGAAAGAUAAACGAAACAUCACUAGCAAGGAACCCAAAUGCUCUGGCUAGGGGAGGAAGGAGACUGAGCAACUGAACUUGAUAUACACUUUCAUUUCCUUGCUAUUGAGAAGAAAUCAUGUGAUUUGUAGUUACCGUUUGUCCCAGUUCAAAGGUGAGUAGAAUUUGCCAAAUAAUUGUCCGGGAGACAGAGGAGAGGGAAUGUUUCCACAAGAUGUAGCACUAAGCAUUGUCUUCCGUGGGAAGUUCUCUGCAAGUACAUGUACAUGCAAGGGUAGAUGAUACAACCUCCUGUAGUAGAGUUACAUUUAGUAGACUGCAGAUACAUUUGAUGUUUUGGAUGUGAUACUCGCCUACAUACAUUCCAUGGCCCUGUUCAGUCAAGCAGGGCUCUGCUAAAUAGGAAUCAUCCUUGCCCAUCAACCUGGGGACGCUGUCUUUCUUCUCAAUGUUGUUGUUCAGUCAUUUCAGUUUUGUCUGACUCUCCAUGACUCCAUUUGAGGUUUUC